This 759-nucleotide long non-coding RNA is filed under the name Ananas comosus (pineapple). Its description in RNAcentral is "long non-coding RNA (ACOM_LNC014666)". Lineage: Eukaryota; Viridiplantae; Streptophyta; Magnoliopsida; Poales; Bromeliaceae. The record is from RNAcentral.
UAUUGAGAAUAAAUCAAAUCAAAUGGUUUGUUUAGAUUAUGAUCUUUUUUUGUAAAUGGCCCCUUGGAAAAAUUUUAUUUUAAAACUAGACCCAACAAAUUUAUAAUUGCAAAAAUGGUUUUACCCCUGCCACACAGGCGCCACGCAAGCGUCACGUGGGCGAGCUGAGAGCCUACUUGGCAAGUUGAACACAGUGAAUUAUUCACCGUGUUCAAACAUGGUGAAUGAUUCACUGUGUUUCAUAUUUAUAUUCAUUUUCUUCCCCUUUUUGAUAUUUUUAUUUUUCGCAAAACAUAUAUUUUUUCUAGACAUGGUGAAUGAUUCACCCUAUUCCAUAUUUAUAUUCUCCCCAUUAGGGAUGUCAACGGGUCGGGUUUUCAAAAACUCGAACCCGAACUCGAAAAUCAAAUUAAAAACCAAAUCCGGAUCCGAACCUGGCGGGUUUUAAAAAUUCAUACCGUUGGAUGAAAAUUUAAGGGAUUAAAAUUAUUAAACAUUUUAUAUAUUGUAUAAAUAAAUAAAAAUAAAUUAUGUAUAUAUAUAAUUUAUUCGGGUUUUGGUUCUAAUAAUAUUUCGAGUAUCCAUACCUAUUGACAUCCUUACUCCCUAUUUCUUUUUUCAAUAUUUAUAUUGCAAAAAUUAUAUAUAUUUGUAUUUUCUCUAGACACGGUAAACUAUUUACCUUGUUUGGACACGGUGAAUGGUUCACCGUAUUCAACUUAACACCAUGGCACCAGCCCUGCUCGCGUGGCACUGACG